UGGGCUGGCCGGGCGACCGCGUUCCCCUCACGGGGACCGAGGAAGGUCCGGGCUCCACAGGGCAGGGUGAUGGCCAACAGCCAUCCGGGGCAACCCGCGGGACAGUGCCACAGAGAACAGACCGCCUCUCCCCACGGGGAGCGGCAAGGGUGAAACGGUGGUGCAAGAGACCACCAGCGCUCCGGGCGACCGGAGCGGCUAGGUAAACCCCACCCGGAGCAAGAUCGAGCAGUGUGUGACCGAGGGCGGCCCGCCCGAGCACACGGGUAGAUCGCUCGAGGGAGUCGGCAACGGCUCUCCUAGAUGGAUGGUCGCCCCGCCCCGGUUCCGGCCGGUGCGGACAGAACCCGGCCUACAGGCCAGCCCAUUCG
RNAcentral lists this RNase P RNA (371 nucleotides) under Nocardioides sp. Soil805. Its description in RNAcentral is "bacterial RNase P". It matches the Rfam family "Bacterial RNase P class A". Rfam says of the family: Ribonuclease P (RNase P) is a ubiquitous endoribonuclease, found in archaea, bacteria and eukarya as well as chloroplasts and mitochondria. Its best characterised activity is the generation of mature 5'-ends of tRNAs by cleaving the 5'-leader elements of precursor-tRNAs. Cellular RNase Ps are ribonucleoproteins. Lineage: Bacteria; Bacillati; Actinomycetota; Actinomycetes; Propionibacteriales; Nocardioidaceae. The record is from RNAcentral.